AUAUGUCUGUCGGACCCUGUAUAGGGGGGU
This 30-nucleotide small RNA is filed under the name Bombyx mori (domestic silkworm). RNAcentral's name for it is "ovarian small RNA-12391". Lineage: Eukaryota; Metazoa; Arthropoda; Insecta; Lepidoptera; Bombycidae. The record is from RNAcentral.